AAAUUUUUAAAUCUCUUUGUAAUUUAUCCUGGUGGGACCCUUUGUUUCGGCAUCGAGUGUUCCCGA
Scaptodrosophila lebanonensis is the source of this 66-nucleotide small nuclear RNA. RefSeq annotates it as U7 small nuclear RNA. Lineage: Eukaryota; Metazoa; Arthropoda; Insecta; Diptera; Drosophilidae. The transcript has a single exon. The record is from RefSeq and is a predicted model, not a curated record.